UCCGGGGGAAGCUCACCGCCGAGGCCACCCACUGGGUGCGCGUCACCCCACCGCCCCGCCUCGGGGAAGGUCUGAGGGAAGGGCCGCCCACGGCUCCCGCAGAGCCCCGCCCGCGACGGGCGGGUGAGCCACCAGCAAGGGGGGGCGUCGCGUUACGGGCCGGUCCUGGGCAGGAGAAGCUGCGUGGGUCAAUGGGGGGCGGGGAGGGGCGCUUCGCCCCGCCCCCUCCCAACCCCCGGCGGAUGCUCGUGGCCCCGCGGUGCUUUGAGACAGACUCACGGCCGGCGAUCGCUGAGUCCAAUGGGUGAGGUGGGGCACGGGCCCUACAACCUAAUUCAGACUACUCUCCCCCGGA
Molecule: RNase P RNA, 355 nt
Filed under: Falco tinnunculus (common kestrel)
Lineage: Eukaryota; Metazoa; Chordata; Aves; Falconiformes; Falconidae
Description: Nuclear RNase P (ENSFTIG00000015804.1)
Rfam family: Nuclear RNase P
About the family: Ribonuclease P (RNase P) is a ubiquitous endoribonuclease, found in archaea, bacteria and eukarya as well as chloroplasts and mitochondria. Its best characterised activity is the generation of mature 5'-ends of tRNAs by cleaving the 5'-leader elements of precursor-tRNAs.
Source: Rfam by way of RNAcentral